AGGUUCAAUGCAAAUGCCUCAACAGUCCAGAAAAUUCUUUGAUUUGGCUCAGCAGCAUGGUUCCUCCCAGGAUGGCCAGAAUAGGAAUCAAGCUGCUGAACAAGUAGUUCUGAAUCCUGUCCAGCAGGCGUAUCUCCAGUUUGCUCUCCAGCAACAAAAGUCAUUUUUGGCAAUGCAGUCACAACAGGCAGCUAAAAUGGGAAUUUUGGGCCCUGCAACUAGCAAGGAU
RNAcentral lists this unclassified non-coding RNA (229 nucleotides) under Hevea brasiliensis (rubber tree). Lineage: Eukaryota; Viridiplantae; Streptophyta; Magnoliopsida; Malpighiales; Euphorbiaceae. The record is from RNAcentral.